ACCUGUCUCCUCAGCGUGGACCAGGCUGUCACCAUCAGUCCCAGGACAACCCUGUGGAGAAAGCUCAAGCCACAGACAUUAUGGCAAGUUCUUUUAUAUCUUUAAUUUUCUGUCAAGUUCCAACUAGCUUUGCUACAACAGCAUGAACAGAUCUGGAAUUAAAGUGGAUAUUGUUAUAUGCUGUCCUCCAAAUAUAAUUAAAUGGUUCUCUCUCUCUCUCUCUCUCUCUCUCUCUCUCUCUCUCUCUCUCUCUCUCUCUCUCUCUCUCUCUCUCCUCUCUCUCUCUUCACCCCCACAGUUUCAUAGGUGGAGCAAUGGUCUGUGGCUGUGUAUAUAAAUGUCACAAGUGCUCCCUCUAACGUCCCAGAUUCGUUGUUGUAAGCAGUUCCUGUCCAGAAAUCAGAGCAACCAGACUGUUCUCCUUUAGUAUAACCUGUUCCUUUUUCAUUGGUAGAUUUUUGGGGAGGGGCUAGACUUUUUUUUUUUUUUUUACUGGGUAGAUUUUAUUCUCUCCUUGUACAAAGGCUCCAUGGUGGCACAUGACUCCAUGAUGCCAAUCAUAGAAGCAGUUCUGAGGAUGGUAAACUGCUCACCU
RNAcentral lists this long non-coding RNA (595 nucleotides) under Mus musculus (house mouse). Its description in RNAcentral is "long non-coding RNA chr13:23268879-23269474". Lineage: Eukaryota; Metazoa; Chordata; Mammalia; Rodentia; Muridae. The record is from RNAcentral.